UUUAUUAAAUUAAAAUUACGUAAAAUAAAAAACUUACAAUUUUUUUUACAAGAAUAAACUUCAAAUACCACUCCAAUAGUUUUGUACUUUCUCAUUUUAAUAUCCUAUAUUUUAAAGUGUAUCAAUUUAAAUACCAUGUGGUUUCAUUUUUCUCUUUUCGUCAGUCCCUUCACUAAUUUUUAUUAAAUUAUAUACAAAAAAUUUCAGAUAACCCACCUAUAAUUUAUCGAAUAUUCACUUUAGUAUCCUUCAGUUUUAACAAUGUCACUGAUUUAACGAAAAAAAUAAUAGAGAAAAUAACAAAAAGAAAUAAAAAUAAAACUAUAAAGUGUAAAAGUGAUACAUUUUAAAUCAUAGGAUACUAAAAUAAAAAUGUGCAAAACUUGGGUAUUUGAAGUUUUUUAUUUUUCAAAAUACUUACAUGGAAAAGGAGGGU
Molecule: long non-coding RNA, 436 nt
Filed under: Ananas comosus (pineapple)
Lineage: Eukaryota; Viridiplantae; Streptophyta; Magnoliopsida; Poales; Bromeliaceae
Description: long non-coding RNA (ACOM_LNC013136)
Source: RNAcentral